GACAAUAGGCAAUUCCAGCUGUAGACUAAAUUUUGAUCUAGGCAAGAAGAACAAAAUCCAUUAUACCACAGCUAGAAAGAGCAUGUUAAAAUGAGUAAAAUUGCAAAGUUUGUAAAUAGCCCUGUCAUGAAGUUCGCAAAUUUUGUAUAUGUACUUUUGUGUGUAUUACAAAUUAAUACAAAAUUUGCAAAUUUCGUAGGGCUAUAUUUUCGUCAUUUUACAACAUUUCGCAACCAAACUUUGCAAUUUUACUAAUUUUAACAUGCUCUUUCUAGCUGCGGUGAUGGAUUCCGUUCUUCUUGCCUAGAUCAAAAUUUAGUCUAUAGCUGAAAUUGCCUAUAUUGUC
Molecule: non-coding RNA, 346 nt
Organism: Paramuricea clavata
Lineage: Eukaryota; Metazoa; Cnidaria; Anthozoa; Malacalcyonacea; Plexauridae
Source: the annotation of a GenBank genome assembly